CAGCAUCUCUGCUGUAACGUGACAUUUUCUAAGGCUUCCAUUGGCUAUCAGAAGGCGCCAGAAAGUGGAAUGACGUGUCUCCAGUCUCUGGGCGAAAAACAGCAGGAGAUUUUGUGAGUGGUCAGGCUGAGAACAGUGACACUGGAGAUGCGCGUUCAUGUGAAUUCUCCAUGUUUUUCUUUCUCUCUUUGAAUGAAUACAACGUCGCCCGGUUGGAAUAUUAUCGCUAUUUUACAAGAAAAAUCGCAUAAAAAAUGAUUUUAAACAGCGUUUGACAUGCUUCGAAGUACGGUAAUGGAAUAUUUAGACAUUUUUUGUCACGAAAUGCACUCGGAUACUGACCUGAACGCACAAACAGAACGGAGGUAUUUGGAUAAGACUAUGGAUUAUUUCGAACCAAAACAACAUUUGUUGUUGAAGUAGAAUUCCUGGGAGUGCAUUCUGAUGAAGACAGCAAAGGCUCUCAGAAGGCGCCAGAACAUUGAAUGAUGACUUUGCAGGCCAUGGCUGAAAAACAGUAGCGCAUUUGGACAAUGACCCAAAACACCUCCAGGCUGUCAGGGCUAUGUUACCAAAAGGAGAGUGAUGGAGUUCUGCAUCAGAUGACCUGGCCUCCACAAUCCCCCAACCUCAACCAAAUUGAGGUGGUUUGGGAUUAGUCGGACCGCAGAGUGAAGGAAAAGCAGCCAACAAGUGCUCAGCAUAUGUGGGAACUUCUUCAAACUGUUGGAAAAGCAUUCCAGGGGAAGCUGGUUGAGAGAAUGCCAAGAGUGUGCAAAGCUUUCAUCAAGAGGGUGGAUAUUUAAGGAGUCUGAAAUAUAAAAUAUAUUUUGAUUUGUUUAACACUUUUUUUCUUACUACGUGAUUCCAUAUGUGUUAUCUCAGUUUUGAUGUCUUCACUAUUAUUCUACAAUGUAUAAAUAAAGAAAAACCCUUGAAGGAGUAGGUGUUCUAAAACUUUUUACUGGUAGUGUAUAUAUUUUCGAAGAAGUGUUGAUCAUCAUUAUUUGGCCCAUAUAGAUUAAUUAGCCAGAUCUGUUUUUGGUCCAAUAGCAUAUUUAAAAUAAUCCAUCUUCCUUGCGGAUCUGUUUGCACAGUUUGCACAAUCGGAUCAACAUUUGUAUUAAUUAGUUUAAUCACCCC
RNAcentral lists this long non-coding RNA (1143 nucleotides) under Salmo salar (Atlantic salmon). RNAcentral describes it as "lncRNA (ENSSSAG00000108741.1)". The record is from RNAcentral. Lineage: Eukaryota; Metazoa; Chordata; Actinopteri; Salmoniformes; Salmonidae.